AUUGAACGCUGGCGGCAUGCCUUACACAUGCCAGUCGAACGGCAGCAUGAUCUAGCUUGCUAGAUUGAUGGCGAGUGGCGAACGGGUGAGUAAUACAUCGGAACGUGCCCUGUAGUGGGGGAUAACUAGUCGAAAGAUUAGCUAAUACCGCAUACGACCUGAGGGUGAAAGUGGGGGACCGCAAGGCCUCAUGCUAUAGGAGCGGCCGAUGUCUGAUUAGCUAGUUGGUGAGGUAAAGGCUCACCAAGGCGACGAUCAGUAGCUGGUCUGAGAGGACGAUCAGCCACACUGGGACUGAGACACGGCCCAGACUCCUACGGGAGGCAGCAGUGGGGAAUUUUGGACAAUGGGCGAAAGCCUGAUCCAGCAAUGCCGCGUGUGUGAAGAAGGCCUUCGGGUUGUAAAGCACUUUUGCCCGGAAAGAAAUGGCUCUGGUUAAUACCUGGGGUCGAUGACGGUACCGGAAGAAUAAGGACCGGCUAACUACGUG
This 490-nucleotide ribosomal RNA is filed under the name uncultured bacterium. RNAcentral's name for it is "partial 16S ribosomal RNA". It matches the Rfam family "Bacterial small subunit ribosomal RNA", at positions 30 to 507 of the family's 1533-position model. The record is from RNAcentral.